AGUAUGUCUUACAACAUCAGAGUUAUUUCACUGAAUUUACAGGAUUAAGAAAUUUAAGCAACACCACCAUUUUGGAAAUUAAUUUAAACGAAGGUUCGAAUUCUCUAGCACAGUGCUCGCAUGGCUUCGGAGAGUACAAUAAACCUCGCUGAAUCUGAGUUUAGAAAGGACGUUGUAACAGAUGAGAUGAAAGUAGAAAAAAAUCCAAGGACAUUACAGACUUUCGACAUGGAGGAUCUACGGCCGAGGAUAAAUAAAGUAUCAAAGUUUUCCAAAAAUAUCUUCUCCCAAGGUUUGAUCAACAUUUCAUUGUUGUCAGCCAACGCCACACGGUUGCACAGAGCACAAUCUUACAACAAUUACGAUCAUCAAACAGCACUAAUUAGUUUAAUAUCAACUUCAGUCGUCUUACAAAUUUUCAUACUGUUCCUGUUGAGCAUAUUAGCCAUGAUUCGAAUCAUAUGCCAUAAACAAGAAAUUUCUUGUUCAAGGAAGUACUUAGUCAAAGCCAGAAUCAAAUCAGCCAUUUUGUUCUUGGUUUCCAUACUGACGGCUGUCAAUAUCUUUAUUUCAGCGUACCAGAACAUGUGACAAGAAACCAUUGUUCCCAAACAUUACAAGCUUGAUGCUUCUAAGUGGGAGGAUUUUUUCUGCAUUGAAUAUGCACAUGUUUAAAGUAUUAAGGCUUAGAUGUGAUAUUAGUGUUAAGGCUUCAUAACAUUUAUUUUUCAAAAAUUAAUACUAUAUAUACUUUUAACAGAUUUUUCUCCUAUCGAUUGAUUAAAUAUCGUGUGCAAGAUUAGGACUGGAUAUUUCGUAAGAUUUUGUAAUUAACAGUGUAAUUUCAAAAAUGUAAGCAGUUAAUUAUAUAUAGAAAUAAAUAGAAAGAGGCAUUCAGGUGCAUAACUAAUAAUUAUUUC
Long non-coding RNA from Saccostrea cuccullata (small rock oyster), 920 nucleotides. RefSeq lists it as uncharacterized. The transcript is spliced from 3 exons. The record is from RefSeq and is a predicted model, not a curated record. Lineage: Eukaryota; Metazoa; Mollusca; Bivalvia; Ostreida; Ostreidae.